Molecule: non-coding RNA, 46 nt
Filed under: Trichobilharzia regenti
Lineage: Eukaryota; Metazoa; Platyhelminthes; Trematoda; Strigeidida; Schistosomatidae
Source: RNAcentral
GUACUAAUGAAGAGUCCCAAACUAGGACGAAACAGUUGUCCAGUAC